UGGAGCGGGGGGGCAGGAGGGGCUCAGGGAGAUAGUGUGUGCUGCCCCUGGCCCUCUCUGCCCUUCCGUCCCCUG
Bos taurus (domestic cattle) is the source of this 75-nucleotide non-coding RNA. The record is from Rfam. NCBI's taxonomy places the organism in Eukaryota, Metazoa, Chordata, Mammalia, Artiodactyla, Bovidae.